This is a non-coding RNA of Cinara cedri, 333 nucleotides long. Lineage: Eukaryota; Metazoa; Arthropoda; Insecta; Hemiptera; Aphididae. The record is from the annotation of a GenBank genome assembly.
UGAAAAGAAAUUUUAAUUAUUAUAAAUGUAACUUAUAUAUAUAUAUAUAUUGUAAAAUAUCAUCAUCGACUCUCUAUCUUCGUAUAUUGUAUAUUUUUUAGUGCGACCGAUUGAAGCAACGGCGCUUCUGCGGGCAAUCUGUAAAGUGGCGUAUCGCCGACGAAAGAGUAUCGAAAUUCCAUUUCUGCGUCGCAGAACGAACGCGGUAUAGCUAUAGCUGGUACAAGUACUCAUGGUAAUGGGUCACACGCGACUUUUGAGUUUUCGACAUCCGGGACUGUGAUGUGAUACAGAAAGAGAGUGAGAGAGAGAGAGAGAGAGAGACCGGUGCCG